CACAGCCGUGGUUCUCACAGCCUCCUGCUGUUUCAAUACCAUCUACUGCUCCCACAGGAUAUGCACAGCAGCCAUUGUUUCCAGUGCAAAAUGUGAGGCCACCUCUGCCCUCAGCUACAUCGCCUGCUCUUCAACUUUCCCAAGUAGCUCCUCCAGGAUUGCCCUCAUCCACACCACCUAUUCCUGUAUCACAACCAUUAUUUCCUGUCAUAAGCAAUAACUUGCCUCAAAGUUCACCAUUUUCUACUCAUUUACCUACACCAAAUAUUCCGUCAAGCACCCUUGGAGAGGUUAA
This 295-nucleotide long non-coding RNA is filed under the name Ricinus communis (castor bean). RNAcentral describes it as "long non-coding RNA (RCOM_LNC002290)". Lineage: Eukaryota; Viridiplantae; Streptophyta; Magnoliopsida; Malpighiales; Euphorbiaceae. The record is from RNAcentral.